CCUCCGCCCUGUAGUGCAGGCGGCGCUUGUUGUUCAGCGGCGGCGGCCGAGCUCGGGUGCAUCCUCGGGCCCGCCGCCGCCGCCGGAGCGUUCGGCCAUGGAGCUAGAGGUGCCGGACGAGGCGGAGAGCGCCGAAGCGGGGGCCGUGACGGCGGAAGCGGCCUGGUCUGCGGAGAGUGGGGCGGCGGCAGGUAUGACCCAGAAGAAGGCUGGCCUUGCAGAGAACCUUCUGGCUACCUUCCCAAACUGUUUUUGGUCCCUGUUCCCCAGGCCCCCUUGGUGACAGGGCAGCCAGGCCCUGGCCAUGGGAAGAAGCUGGGCCACCGAGGCGUGGAUGCGUCGGGAGAGACUACGUAUAAGAAGACCACCUCGUCCACCCUGAAGGGCGCCAUCCAGCUGGGGAUCGGGUACACGGUGGGCAACCUGAGCUCUAAGCCGGAGCGGGACGUGCUCAUGCAGGACUUCUACGUGGUGGAGAGCAUCUUCUUCCCCAGUGAAGGGAGCAACCUCACCCCUGCCCACCACUUCCAGGAUUUCCGCUUCAAGACCUAUGCACCUGUUGCCUUCCGCUACUUCCGGGAGCUCUUUGGCAUCCGUCCAGAUGACUAUUUGUACUCCCUGUGCAAUGAGCCACUCAUCGAGCUCUCCAACCCCGGGGCCAGCGGCUCUGUCUUCUACGUCACCAGCGACGACGAGUUCAUCAUCAAGACUGUCAUGCACAAGGAGGCAGAGUUCCUGCAGAAGCUGCUGCCUGGCUACUACAUGAAUCUCAACCAGAACCCACGGACGCUGCUGCCCAAGUUCUAUGGGCUGUACUGCGUGCAGUCUGGUGGCAAGAACAUCCGCGUGGUGGUCAUGAACAAUGUGCUGCCCCGUGUCGUCAAAAUGCACCUUAAGUUCGACCUCAAGGGCUCCACGUACAAGCGCAGGGCCAGCAAGAAGGAGAAGGAGAAGAGCCUGCCCACCUACAAGGACCUGGACUUCAUGCAGGACAUGCCCGAGGGGCUGCUGCUGGACUCCGACACCUUUGGCGCCCUGGUCAAGACGCUGCAGCGAGACUGCCUGGUGCUGGAGAGCUUCAAGAUAAUGGACUACAGCCUGCUGCUGGGCGUGCACAACAUCGAUCAGCAGGAGCGAGAGCGCCAGGCCGAGGGCGCCCAGAGCAAGGCGGAUGAGAAGCGGCCCGUGGCCCAGAAGGCUCUGUAUUCCACGGCCAUGGAGUCUAUCCAGGGCGGAGCUGCCCGUGGGGAGGCCAUUGAGACAGAUGACACGAUGGGUGGGAUUCCAGCAGUGAAUGGGCGCGGGGAGCGACUGCUCCUCCACAUCGGGAUCAUUGAUAUUCUGCAGUCCUACAGGUUCAUCAAGAAGUUAGAACACACCUGGAAGGCCCUCGUCCAUGAUGGGGACACUGUCUCAGUCCACCGGCCCAGCUUCUAUGCAGAGCGCUUCUUCAAGUUCAUGAGCAGCACGGUGUUCCGGAAGAGUUCCUCCCUGAAGUCCUCUCCAUCCAAGAAAGGACGUGGUGCCCUGCUGGCGGUCAAACCCCUGGGGCCCACUGCUGCCUUCUCAGCCAGCCAGAUCCCCAGCGAGAGAGAGGAUGUGCAGUAUGACCUGCGGGGGGCCCGCAGCUACCCCACGCUUGAGGAUGAAGGCCGGCCUGACCUCCUGCCCUGCACCCCACCGUCCUUUGAGGAAGCCACCACAGCCUCCAUCGCCACCACCCUGUCGUCCACCUCCCUCUCCAUCCCAGAGCGGUCCCCUUCAGAUACAUCGGAGCAGCCCCGGUACAGGCGGCGCACGCAGUCUUCAGGCCAGGAUGGCCGGCCCCAGGAGGAGCCCCAUGCGGAAGACCUGCAGAAGAUAACUGUGCAGGUGGAGCCAGUGUGCGGUGUGGGGGUUGUCCCCAAGGAGGAGGGUGCAGGAGUGGAGGUCCCCCCAUGUGGGGCAUCGGCUGCAGCCUCUGUGGAAAUAGACGCUGCCAGCCAGGCCUCAGAGCCUGCCAGCCAGGCCUCAGAUGAGGAGGAUGCACCCUCUACAGACAUCUAUUUUGUAAGUUCCCCCCAAGACCCCUCCUCAGGCCCCUUUGGGCCCUUGGCCUCCAAGGCACCUGUGGACAGUUACAACUGCUUCUGUCUCUGGUGUGAUCACUCUGGGUGGCAGGGCCAUUGCUCCCCUUGGCCAUGGGGACACCUGAGCAAAGACGGAGGCCCCGUGUCUCUGGCAAGCUGGGAACCACGCGAAAGCUUCGUCCUUCUGGGGGAGGGACACUCGUGAUAGUGUGGCCUGGGGGCCUGGUGAGUGGCUGGGGGGUCUCCAUGCUGCCUGCUCUGUGAGAUGGGACACGCCCCUUCGUGGACAAGGUAGAUCUGACCCCGUCCACCACGGAGAGAAAUGCUGUCAUGGUUGCAGGCCCAGAACAGGGAUAUACCUGUAAGCAGUCAGAGCUGCAGCAGCCCCCUGGGGGUCAGCUGGCACUAUCACAAUGUCAUCUCUUGACCCUGGUGCUGAAACCUCAGCUGGGGUCUAGGGUUGUCCUCUCCCACCUGGGGUCCUCACUGCUCCCUACUAACUCACCCACGGUCCCUGAGCUGCUUCAGUUAGGUCUACGCUCCCACCUGGUCAGACAUACUGUCACCUGUGUUGGGGCCUUAUGGGAUCCCUAGUCCCCAACCCAGCCACACAUCCUGCUUCCGUCGCCUGUGCCUGCUAGUCCUGCUCAGCUGCCCACCUGUAUCCCCUGCCUGGUUCCCGCUUCAUCCUCUACCCUCUCCUCUCUUCCUUCCUCCCGCCCGGCCCACUGUGUGGCCAGUUCGCCCAUGGGAGAUACUGGCUUUUCUCUCCCCGUCGUCGCCAACUGCGGGCCGUGACACCAAACCACACAGGCACUGUAAGUGACCACAGCCCGCCACGCGUGGAGAUGGGGCUCCAGAGCACAGCACACCCCUUUUCUCAAGUGACUGAGAGAAAGCACAGCUGUAGUGUAGGUCAGCUGAGUCCCGCCUAGACCAGAGACAGAGAAGCCCUGUGACCCGAGCGCCACUCCCUCUCAACUACCCAAGCCAGGUCUGCAGUACCCCAGCUUACUCAUGUCACUCUCGGGUGUGGGCACUUAACCAGGCUUGAGUGUUGCAGGGACCACUGAGCCAGGACCUGCCCUUCCCUCCAUUGCAUACUUCACAGGAGGAGAAACUGAGGCUCAGGCCACACAAGGAACCCACAGGGCACAGGGUUCAGAGGAACCCAUCCUCACAGUCCAUCACUCGUCCUAGUGACCUUCCAGGACACGUGACUGCGCUGCAGUGGGCCGGUCUCGUAGCUGGGGCUGUUACCUCUCUUUCCACAAUAAGUACCAGGCCCAGAGAGGCCUGGGUGACCUGCACAGCCCUGGAGGUAGCAGGACUGUCUGUCACCCCAGCAUUAAAAGGUGGAAGCAGGAUCUGCAAUUUCAUUGAGCCAGGGAUGGCUAAGUUGGGGGUGCAAGGCUGCCCUCUGCAGGAUAGAUUGUUGGCCUCCUUGCAGGAGGUAGACCACUGGCGUCUGGCUGGCCUCUGGGGCAUGGCACACUCCGCCAUACCCCCACCCCGCUCUUGACCCCCACCCCGCUCUUGAUCUACUUGCUCAGCACCAUCAGCCUUGUUGUCUGAGGCCCUUCUGUGCCCCACUCCUGGCUGUACUCCUUGACACUGGGAAGCCCUGCAGAAGGCAGGAUGACAGCCCAGGACUGGCUCUCAGCGGUUUCGGCCCUGGGAGAGCCCGAUGAGGUUCAGCUUGGAUGGAACUCGCAGGAGCCAUGUCCCUGCACCUACCGUGCUCAGCGGUCAAAGCUUGCAGUGUUGUCUGCCCUGUGCUCAGCAGCCUGUGACUUGCAGCAGGCUGUUGGGGCUGUCGAGGGUAGGGGUAAGCCCAGGGAGGUCAGAGCAGGGAGGGCCCCGCUCCACUACAGGCUGGAUCAGUGGGGACCAGGGUAGUGGGACAGAGGGGGCACAUGGGGAGGAGGAGGGGAGGAAACCCCCGGCCCGCCCCCUGCCGGCCCUCCUGCACCCCUGCUUUACUAACUGCUUCCCGCUGCUGCUCCCCUUGCCGCCGCCGUUGCUUCCCCAAGGCCAAGGGUUGGGGGCAGGUGCCCCUCACAGGGACCCGGGGUUGCGGCUGCUCCCUGGGAUUGGGGUCCCCCUCUUUUACUUUCUGUCUCUUCCUUCUGCCUGUCUGCUCCUCGCCCCCUGCUCUUCUGCACCCCUCCUGCACGCGCUGCGCAGCCCACCGACGAGAGGAGCUGGGUGUACUCCCCGCUUCACUAUAGCGCGCGGCCCGCCUCCGACGGCGAGAGCGACACAUAACUUCUAUGCAGUCCCCAAUCUGGAGCCCAGCGUCCUUCUGCCACCCCAGCCACUUCCUGGAGGCGCUGCCCCCCACUGGGGCUCAGAGCUCAGCGACAUCACCUGGCCCAACCUUGUUCUCUCCCUCCCCACUGACGGACGGCACUGGCCAGGCCCAGACCCAGGAUAGCUCAGGCCGCCAUCAGCUGCUACCUGUGCCUGUUGGGGCAGCAAGAUUUGGAGUGCCCAUCCUGUAUUUAUUUUGGGUCUUUUUUUUUGGACGAAGAGUGAGCACAGGUGUGAUUUUCUAGAAAGACGACAAGACACAGAAAACCCAGGAAGAGGCUGCAGCCACCAGCCUAGGUGGAUCAGGCUCUACGUGUCUCACUACUCUGGGGACAGUGGCCCCGUAGCUCCAGUAAAAGCCACACACUCUAGGGCUCUUGUUAUGGCCUGCAGAGGAGACAGGCCCUGGAGCCUCCGCUUGCCAGCCCAGGUGUGUGCUCCUGAGUUGGGUCACCUCAACAGAGCCCCUCUGUCACCUCAGGUUUGGGACCCGAGCAAACCAGGACUAGGCAUGCCCUGUGGUCUUUCUGCAUCUGUUUACUGCCACUGGAAGGACAUCCCCACGCAUGACUGUCACCUAAUGCUGGACUGGGAGGGUCCAUGUUGUCUGCCUCUCAUCCCCUUGAAGCCCUGAGCUGGUGCCGUGGGUCCCCUCAACUACCAGGGGAUUCUCUGCCCUAAGAAGGGCACAGUCAGGCUGCAGGCUGAGGGCUGGGUCCUAAGACACCGUGGCUGAAGAAAAUAAGGGAGAAAGUGACAUCACCUCAGCAAAGCCAACUAUGUCCACCGAACACCAGGGAGAUUGCGGCCAGUCUCCUCCCCUGGGCACACCCCAGUGUGUUGGGUACAGUCCAAUCGUGUCAUGCCCCUGCUUCAUGGAUGUUCCACCCACGGUGUGCUGGUAGGAGGAAUCAGGCUGAAAUGUUCUGAAAGCCAGCAGCCUGAAGCCACUGCUUUUGGGCCAGCCGCGUAGGCCUCUUGGGUUGCACCUUCAGGGACAGAGGUCAGGACCUGGCUGGCUUCCAAGGACUGCAGCAGCCAUGGAGGCAGUGAGGAGCAUGACACAAUCAUCAUGGCCAGAAAAGGCAUGGCCAGGGACAGGACCCGUGCGGGGGUGGGGCAACCGAAGGAGAGAUGGACAGAUGUCUGUCCCUGGACCUCAGUCCCCUUCCUGUUUUGGGAUGCACAGUGAACACACUGGUAAGCUGCUGCAGGAGUUAAUUCAGGGGCUGCAAAGGCAACUUGGGUUGGGCCUUGCACAGACCAGGCAGGUAUAAUAUCACACCUGUCAUCCCAGCACUUGGAAAGUUAAAGCAAGAGGGUUGUGGCAAAUUCCAGGCUAGCCUGGGCUACAGAGCGAAAUGAGACCAAAAGAUAAAACUCCCAGGGCUGGCCCUACCACUCAGUGGGCAGAGCUCACCCAGCUGCGUAAGCCCUGAGUUCCAUCCCAGCACCGCAGAAACCAGAUGGGGUGGCACACAGCUGCCGUCCCUGACUUGGGAAGUAGAGGCAGAAAGCAGGCAUGCAAGGUCAUCCUUGGCUGUAACCAGUUGGAGGCCAGCCUGGGCUACAUGAGACCCUCUCAAAAGAGAAUCUGUAAAUAUCUUUGUGACUCCCCAUCGUGUCCCCAUCCUGUUCUCUCCAACGGCCACUAUUGCCCCACCGUGGACGGUGUGUGAACUGUACUGUAAGGCCUGGGGGCUCCUCCAAGGCUGAAGAGGUGCCCUCUCCGGCCCACUUCUGUUCUCCUCAAGCCAUCCCAGCAAGUCCCCUGUCCAGCCCCACAUCAACCUCAGUGCAAUAUGCCCUCCCCGUGGGGUCCCUUGGCACGGUACUGUCUGCAGCCCCUUGUCUCUCACCCCUAGCUCCACUCUCCGGUGGUUAAAAAUCGCAUCGCACAUCCUCCCCCCAAUCCUGUUUUUAUUGUUGAAUCCAUUCUGUAAACUACAAACCUCGUGUGUCUUACUCAUCAGGACUUGGGAUCCCUCGUCCUCAGCCUAUGUGGUCUGGUGUUUGACAAUCCAAGCACAGUGUCCUCUUGGCACCAACCAGAGGGGCCUGUCCCUCCAGCGCAGCCGGCAAAUGUAUGCAGUCCAGGUCCCCGCCCCACCUGUCACAGCCCCUCUUUUUGAGAUCUGUAAUAAAUCUCUAAUAAGAAACA
Mus musculus (house mouse) is the source of this 6543-nucleotide RNA transcript. It is a transcript of the gene named phosphatidylinositol-4-phosphate 5-kinase, type 1 gamma, with no coding region annotated. The record is from RefSeq and is marked validated. Lineage: Eukaryota; Metazoa; Chordata; Mammalia; Rodentia; Muridae. The transcript has 17 exons.